GACGAGGGAUCCUAGCGUUGUUCGGAAUCAUUGGGCGUAAAGCGGGUGUAGGCGGACUUAUAAGUCAGGUGUGAAAUCCCAGGGCUCAACCCUGGAAGUGCAUUUGAUACUGUAAGUCUUGAAUGUGGUAGAGGUUACUGGAAUUGCUGGUGUAGUGGUGAAAUACGUAGAUAUCAGCGGGAACACCGGAGGCGAAGGCGGGUAACUGGGCCAACAUUGACGCUGAGACCCGAAAGCGUGGGGAGCAAACAGG
This 253-nucleotide ribosomal RNA is filed under the name uncultured bacterium. RNAcentral describes it as "partial 16S ribosomal RNA". It matches the Rfam family "Bacterial small subunit ribosomal RNA", at positions 524 to 776 of the family's 1533-position model. The record is from RNAcentral.